GGCGCAUUGCACACGGAUGAUAUACCUUGACUUGCUCGUCUUCUUAGCACUUUUUUGACGUGGACUCUGCCUACAUUGUUGACUUCAACCAUAAAGAAGUUUUGUCCGAUAUUACUCGUACGCCGGACCAAAGGGUCACAGCCAAUCCAGUGCAACGUUGACGUGUGGGUCCACUACAAAUUGAGUCAAUGGCAGAUGGGACCGAUCUGUUAGUGAAACAUCAAAUCCAUGAGGC
Molecule: long non-coding RNA, 235 nt
Filed under: Elaeis guineensis (African oil palm)
Lineage: Eukaryota; Viridiplantae; Streptophyta; Magnoliopsida; Arecales; Arecaceae
Description: long non-coding RNA (EGUI_LNC021071)
Source: RNAcentral